This 1235-nucleotide long non-coding RNA is filed under the name Dicentrarchus labrax (European seabass). RNAcentral describes it as "lncRNA (ENSDLAG00005031215.1)". Lineage: Eukaryota; Metazoa; Chordata; Actinopteri; Moronidae. The record is from RNAcentral.
AUGAUGCCAUCUCAACUCAUCGUUUCCAUCAUAACUUUGUUCUGGGUUAGAGGAGUUUAUCUCAGUAAAGAAAAACAAGUAUUUCAGACUCCAACUGAGCUGUUGGUGAAACCAAAAGAUGGAGUCAACUUGAGCCUCACACAUAAAAUCCCGAGCUAUGACACUGUUCUCUGGUAUCAGCGCUCACCAGGAAAUACUUCCCUAAAGCUCAUCGGCUACGUGUAUUAUAAAAAUCCUAAGGUUGAGUCAGAAUUUCAAAUUCACUUCAAUGUGAGUGGAGACGGAGAGAAAACAGCUUAUCUUCACAUCCUGAACCCGAGACACCCUGAAGAAAGUGGAGAAUAUUUUGGAGCAGCACGUAUAUACACAGCAAUAAAGACAGUGACUCUCUCAUACAAAAACCUCCACAAUGAUCCAGCAGAGAACAGCACACCAACAGGAAACCACUGGAACCACCUCACAGACAAAGUAUUCAACUGGUUCAUUAGAAUCUAUUUAUUUGUUCCUUUUAGCAUUGCACUGAAGUGAAGUUGACAUUAAAAGUAUUAAAAGGCAAUAAUAAAGAUCAAGAUAAGAUACAUUUACAAUUCAUUUUACAGGCUUUGAUUACAUUAUAUUUUGUAAUGAUGCCAACAAAGUCACAUAUUAAAGGUUGUCUCUGCUUUGCUCUCUCCUCUGUGCAGAUAAAGUCAAAAAGAUAUAUUGAGUCAUUUCAAAGUCAUAGGUCAUGUUUUACGAGUUCACUGCAUUGCAACUUGAACUUACCGGACAAUUUCAGAACCAGAACCAAAAGACAAACUUUUGCUAUUUAAGCUCACAGGAACAUUUUAUUUCUUUUUUUAUGUUUUCUUCUGCCAGUUGCAAGGAAAAAAGUUACACAUUUGCCUUUCAGUUCUGCUCAGUUUUGUGUUCACAUUAGGGCUGUGACUAACAAUGACUUUUAUUAUUAAUUUAUCAGGACAUUGUUUUGCUCCAUUAAUCCUUUGGUCUAAUAAAAUAUCCAACUAUGAACCAAAACCCAAAUGUAUUCAAUUUACUAAUACAAGAAAAUCCACGAAACUAAAAAUAUAACAAAUUAUAAAUUGAUUAUCAAAAGAGUUGCUGGUUCAUUUCUGUCGAUCAACUAAUACAUUUAUCAACAAAUCAUUUGAGCUCUGGUUUAGACCAACUUAAUUCAAAUGGUUUUGAAUUGGAACCUGAACAGGCUCCUCCCAGCAAGCUGCUCUUGAUGUGAU